UAGCUGAUUCACAUCCAUUCAGAGGGUUGCGGUCAGUUGUUCGCCGAAAAAGAAAAAAAAAACAAAUUUUUUGAUGUCUCUUGAUCUUCACUCUAAAAACAUCACAUGUUUAUGAAAAGUUAAUAAGAAAUUUGGUCCAAAAAGUUAAUAAAAAAUCUGGUGUGUGGAUACCAGACCCAUUAUAAUUCCGUCAUUCGAACUCACUAAAGGGAUAUUUUAAUUUGUAUAAUAAAAAACAAAUUUUUAUGUCGACAUACAUAAAACGAAAGAUGCACACAACUUCAAAGUAGAAAAAUCUUUAAAAAACUUGUUAAACACAAUGAUGAAGUUGGAACACAAAAGAAACCUGAACUAACAAGGAUAUACAUAUAUGUAAAAAUAUCAGAACCAUACCAAUAUCAGAACCAUACCAAUAGUAAAAAUAUCAGAACCAUACCAACUGU
This 443-nucleotide long non-coding RNA is filed under the name Helianthus annuus (common sunflower). Lineage: Eukaryota; Viridiplantae; Streptophyta; Magnoliopsida; Asterales; Asteraceae. The record is from RNAcentral.